UGCGUUCCAUUAGGCAGUUGGUGAGGUAACGGCUCACCAAACCUUCGAUGGAUAGGGGUUCUGAGAGGAAGGUCCCCCACAUUGGAACUGAGACACGGUCCAAACUCCUACGGGAGGCAGCAGUGAGGAAUAUUGGUCAAUGGGCGCAGGCCUGAACCAGCCAAGUAGCGUGAAGGAUGACUGCCCUAUGGGUUGUAAACUUCUUUUAUAUGGGAAUAAAGUUUUCCACGUGUGGAAUUUUGUAUGUACCAUAUGAAUAAGGAUCGGCUAACUCCGUGCCAGCAGCCGCGGUAAUACGGAGGAUCCGAGCGUUAUCCGGAUUUAUUGGGUUUAAAGGGAGCGUAGGUGGACAGUUAAGUCAGUUGUGAAAGUUUGCGGCUCAACCGUAAAAUUGCAGUUGAUACUGGCUGUCUUGAGUACAGUAGAGGUGGGCGGAAUUCGUGGUGUAGCGGUGAAAUGCUUAGAUAUCACGAAGAACUCCGAUUGCGAAGGCAGCUCACUGGACUGCAACUGACACUGAUGCUCGAAAGUGUGGGUAUCAAACAGGAUUAGAUACCCUGGUAGUCCACACAGUAAACGAUGAAUACUCGCUGUUUGCGAUAUACAGUAAGCGGCCAAGCGAAAGCAUUAAGUAUUCCACCUGGGGAGUACGCCGGCAACGGUGAAACUCAAAGGAAUUGACGGGGGCCCGCACAAGCGGAGGAACAUGUGGUUUAAUUCGAUGAUACGCGAGGAACCUUACCCGGGCUUAAAUUGCAUUGGAAUAAUUUGGAAACAGGUUAGCCGUAAGGCAAAUGUGAAGGUGCUGCAUGGUUGUCGUCAGCUCGUGCCGUGAGGUGUCGGCUUAAGUGCCAUAACGAGCGCAACCCUUAUCUUUAGUUACUAACAGGUCAUGCUGAGGACUCUAGAGAGACUGCCGUCGUAAGAUGUGAGGAANGUGGGGAUGACAUCAAAUCANCACGGCCCUUACGUCCGGGGCUACACACGUGUUACAAUGGGGGGUACAGAAGGCANCUACCUGGUGACAGGAUGCUAAUCCCAAAAGCCUCUCUCANUUCGG
Molecule: ribosomal RNA, 1060 nt
Filed under: Bacteroides thetaiotaomicron
Lineage: Bacteria; Pseudomonadati; Bacteroidota; Bacteroidia; Bacteroidales; Bacteroidaceae
Description: bacterial SSU rRNA
Rfam family: Bacterial small subunit ribosomal RNA
Source: RNAcentral